GGUGCAGAGUGUAAGUAGUGUAAGUGAAUUGUCUCAGAAUAAAAUUGCUGUCAGCACAGGACCUACAGGUCACUCUUUCAGUGGAGCUCCACUCAGUUUAAUUCCCAGACAGUGCUAAGACUCAUCACCUUUUAUUGUCAUUGGAAAACCUUUAUAAAGCGCUACAAAAGGAGCUGCUGGAGGAAAGUCUCUUCUUCAGCAAUGACAGAGCUGCUGCAUGUUCUCAUGUCGUGAGCAGCCCAUUCACAUCAGAGUGGACAUUUUUCACACAGAGUCUCGUUUGGUAGAAGCCAGAGUAAACCAGACUUGCCUCCUGGAACCUGCAUACCAUGACAGUCCAGAGAUCAUACUUAUGAAGAAUUUUUUCCUGAAGACUCAAGUGGAGAAGUCUAAAUAAAGUGGUGCUCCUCAGGCUUGAAAACUGAAGAAGAAUAUGACAGAGGCUCAAAAUCAUGACUGAUAUGAAAGAGGUGAAUGGGAACCGAUUAUUUCCUCCUCCUUGUGAUACAAGAACUAGAGGUUCAAAAGAAACUAAAAGGAUAGUAGCAUAGAAUAAAAGGAGUACUGUUUCAUUAUUAUAUUGUGGAAG
Molecule: long non-coding RNA, 589 nt
Organism: Melopsittacus undulatus (budgerigar)
Lineage: Eukaryota; Metazoa; Chordata; Aves; Psittaciformes; Psittaculidae
Exons: 4
Source: RefSeq, a predicted model, not a curated record